CUGCCUGGCCUUCCUGGGACCUUUCCCAAGAGGGCUUCAUUGAGAUGUUAAUUCCACAGGUGUUUUCUGAGCACCUGCUAUAGGCCAGAUGCCGGAGAGAGCCACCCUGACUCCAGGACUUUACCACACACCAGGGGACAGGCAUGAACUGUGAUAUCCAAAUGUCAGGACCACGGACCACUUGGUUCCUCUGCCCCCGGUGACUGAGCGCGCAGUUUCAGGAAGCCUCUCCGCUGUAUCUCACAGCGUCUUCCUCUGCCAGGCUCAGCCUGCCCAUCAUGGCGCCUCCUAAACUGGCCUCUUUCCACAUUUAAGCGUUGUUAUUCGGCAAACAUGAAAUUUAAUGGAUGUUUUACAGUA
This is a long non-coding RNA of Lynx canadensis (Canada lynx), 360 nucleotides long. RefSeq lists it as uncharacterized. The transcript is spliced from 2 exons. The record is from RefSeq and is a predicted model, not a curated record. NCBI's taxonomy places the organism in Eukaryota, Metazoa, Chordata, Mammalia, Carnivora, Felidae.